Molecule: small RNA, 1188 nt
Filed under: Caenorhabditis elegans
Lineage: Eukaryota; Metazoa; Nematoda; Chromadorea; Rhabditida; Rhabditidae
Description: Unclassified non-coding RNA F54D12.22
Source: RNAcentral
AAAAUGCGGGCAAUUAUUUCGGUUGCUAAGUCGAUUCUGGGCAAUCGACGUGGCGACGACGAGAGUCUCUACACUGGCGCUGGACCUGCCGGAUCGGGAGCUUCCCACUCGUUUCGUGUCUAUAUUCAUGGAAAUCGCAAGAAAAAUGAGCUCGUUCAUGGUGUGUGGGCUUUUUUUGCGAAGGAAUUGGCCUAGAAUAGUCGAAAAGUCGAAAAAUUCAAGUUUCCUCCAAAAUGGAUGCUGCCGGACCAAUCAGCAUCGUCAAACUCCGCCCAGUUUAUCUUAUUGGUUGAAAAGUGGGCGGAGCAAGUCGCUGAUUGGUCGUGGAGCUCUACUUUUGGAGGGAGUUCAAAAAAUGGUUUUUUUAACCAAAAAUUCAAUUUUUUUGCAGCCUGGCUUCGCGUGACCCGAACCACAAUCACGCUGGAGAUCUCGAAAAAGGAAUGCCUAGUAUGGCCGCUGCCACUGAUCCGCCGAUACGGAUACACUUCUGCCGGAAUUUUCUUCUUCGAAUCUGGAAGACGGUGCGAGUCUGGAGAGGGAAUGUUCACGUUUCAGAGCAAAAAAGCUGAUGAGAUAUUUCAGGUAAAAAAUUGAGAAAUUUUGGUGUAAAAUUCAUGAAAAAUGAGAAAUUUUGGUGUAAAAAUAGUGAAAAAUGAGAAAUUUUUGCAUAAAAAUCGUCAAAAAUCAAUAUUUUCAACGUUGGUCUGCUAGGCUACAAACUACAAAAGUAUUUAGCAGACCGAAACAUUAAAAUCUUUUUUUCGAGUUUUAGAGCAUUUUUAAUAAAUUGAUUUUUUUUUGUUUUUAGUGUAAAAUAUGCUUAUUCUCAAGUAGUAAUUUAAUUGAAAAAUCAAAAUUUAAAUUCAAAAAAACACUGAAAAUGGAUAUUUUUGAACUUGGGUCUGCUAGGCUACAAACUACAAAAAAUAUUUAGCAGACCGAAAAAUUAAUGUUUUUUCCGAGUUUUAGAGCAUUUUUAAUGAAAUUUUUUUGUAUUUUUUUUUUGCUGAGAACACCUAAAAAAUCCAACAUUUUCAAAAUUGAAAAAAAAAAUUUCCAGCUCAUCCAAUCACUGAUAGAAGAGUUCGCCAACACGUCAAUGGAGAAACAGAAUAUGGAAAAUAGUUUCCGGUACCAGCGACAGCAAUCCGUACCGAUCAGCUCUCGGAGAAUGUCAAAUACGAG